RNAcentral lists this transfer RNA (75 nucleotides) under Methanotorris igneus Kol 5. It matches the Rfam family "tRNA". From Rfam's summary of the family: Transfer RNA (tRNA) molecules are approximately 80 nucleotides in length. Their secondary structure includes four short double-helical elements and three loops (D, anti-codon, and T loops). The record is from Rfam by way of RNAcentral. Lineage: Archaea; Methanobacteriati; Methanobacteriota; Methanococci; Methanococcales; Methanocaldococcaceae.
GGACCCGUAGCCUAGCCUGGAUAGGGCACCGGCCUUCUAAGCCGGGGGUCGUGGGUUCAAAUCCCACCGGGUCCG